UACGUAGGUGGCAAGCGUUGUCCGGAAUUAUUGGGCGUAAAGCGCGCGCAGGCGGUCCUUUAAGUCUGAUGUGAAAGCCCACGGCUCAACCGUGGAGGGUCAUUGGAAACUGGGGGACUUGAGUACAGAAGAGGAAAGCGGAACUCCACGUGUAGCGGUGAAAUGCGUAGAGAUGUGGAGGAACACCAGUGGCGAAGGCGGCUUUCUGGUCUGUAACUGACGCUGAGGCGCGAAAGCGUGGGGAGCAAACAGG
RNAcentral lists this ribosomal RNA (253 nucleotides) under uncultured bacterium. Its description in RNAcentral is "partial 16S ribosomal RNA". It matches the Rfam family "Bacterial small subunit ribosomal RNA", at positions 524 to 776 of the family's 1533-position model. The record is from RNAcentral.